Molecule: ribosomal RNA, 428 nt
Filed under: uncultured bacterium
Lineage: Bacteria
Description: bacterial SSU rRNA
Rfam family: Bacterial small subunit ribosomal RNA
Source: RNAcentral
AGAGUUUGAUCCUGGCUCAGGACGAACGCUGGCGGCGUGCCUAAUACAUGCAAGUCGAACGGGGUCCAAUUGGUGGCAACACCAAGGAAGACUUAGUGGCGAACGGGUGCGUAACACGUGAGCAACCUGCCCCGAAGACCGGAAUAACACCGGGAAACCGAUGCUAAUACCGGAUACCCCCAUUGGUCCGCAUGGAUCGAUGAGGAAAGGAAUCCGCUUUGGGAGGGGCUCGCGGACUAUCAGCUUGUUGGUGGGGUAAUGGCCUACCAAGGCGACGACGGUUAGCUGGUCUGAGAGGACGAUCAGCCACACUGGGACUGAGACACGGCCCAGACUCCUACGGGAGGCAGCAGUAGGGAAUCUUGCGCAAUGGGCGAAAGCCUGACGCAGCAACGCCGCGUGGGGGAUGAAGGCCUUCGGGUUGUAAA